Molecule: ribosomal RNA, 326 nt
Filed under: uncultured bacterium
Lineage: Bacteria
Description: bacterial SSU rRNA
Rfam family: Bacterial small subunit ribosomal RNA
Source: RNAcentral
AAUCAACGCUGGCGGCGUGCCUAACACAUGCAAGUCGAACGCGAAAGGGGACUUCGGUUCCUGAGUAGAGUGGCGUACGGGUGAGUAACGCGUGGGUCAUCUGCCCUCGGGUGGGGAAUAACUAAUCGAAGGUUAGCUAAUACCGCAUAACACAGUGAUGUCAAAGCAGCAAUGUGCCUGAGGAGGAGCCUGCGUCUGAUUAGGUAGUUGGUGGGGUAACGGCCGUACCAAGCCUGCGAUCAGUAGCUGGUCUGAGAGGACGGCCAGCCACAAUGGCACUGAAACACGGGCCAUACUCCUACGGGAGGCAGCAGUGGGGAAUUUUG